This 345-nucleotide ribosomal RNA is filed under the name uncultured eukaryote. RNAcentral's name for it is "bacterial SSU rRNA". It matches the Rfam family "Eukaryotic small subunit ribosomal RNA", at positions 596 to 945 of the family's 1831-position model. The record is from RNAcentral.
AGUGUAUAUCUAUUUUGCUGAGUUUAAAAAGCUCGUAGUUGGAUCUGCGUGUUCAGCGUCCGGUGCGGUCUCUGGCCGCCACUGGAACGCGACACAUCGAAUGCCGGUGUGCCGUCGAUGCUCUUCAUCGGGUGUCGGCGGUGGCUGGCGAGUUUACUUUGAACAAAUUAGAGUGCUCAACGCAGGCGUUUCGCUUGUAUAUUUCUGCAUGGAAUAAUAGAAUAGGACCUCGGUUCUAUUUUGUUGGUUUUCGGAAGUGAGGUAAUGAUUAAGAGGGACUGACGGGGGCAUUCGUACUGCGACGUGAGAGGUGAAAUUCUUGGAUCGUCGCAAGACGCACUACUG